GACGAACGCUGGCGGUGUGCUUAACACAUGCAAGUCGAACGGUAAGGCCCUUUCGGGGGUACACGAGUGGCGAACGGGUGAGUAACACGUGAGUAACCUGCCCUCAUCUCUGGGAUAACAGUCGGAAACGGUUGCUAAUACUGGAUAUGAGCUUGCAAGGCAUCUUGUGGGUUGGAAAGAUUUUUUUGGUUGGGGAUGGACUCGCGGCCUAUCAGCUUGUUGGUGAGGUAGUGGCUCACCAAGGCUUCGACGGGUAGCCGGCCUGAGAGGGCGACCGGCCACAUUGGGACUGAGAUACGGCCCAAACUCCUACGGGAGGCAGCAGUGGGGAAUAUUGCACAAUGGACGGAAGUCGGAUGCAGCAACGCCGCGUGCGGGAUGACGGCCUUCGGGUUGUAAACCGCUUUCAAUUGUGACGAAGCUUUUUGUGACGGUAGCAGUAGAAGAAGCACCGGCUAACUACGUG
This 466-nucleotide ribosomal RNA is filed under the name uncultured bacterium. Its description in RNAcentral is "partial 16S ribosomal RNA". It matches the Rfam family "Bacterial small subunit ribosomal RNA", at positions 28 to 507 of the family's 1533-position model. The record is from RNAcentral.